UCUGGCGGCAGUAGCGCGGUGGUCCCACCUGACCCCAUGCCGAACUCAGAAGUGAAACGCCGUAGCGCCGAUGGUAGUGUGGGGUCUCC
Molecule: ribosomal RNA, 89 nt
Filed under: Escherichia coli
Lineage: Bacteria; Pseudomonadati; Pseudomonadota; Gammaproteobacteria; Enterobacterales; Enterobacteriaceae
Also listed under: 3 other names
Source: RNAcentral